This 324-nucleotide small nuclear RNA is filed under the name Vulpes vulpes (red fox). RNAcentral's name for it is "7SK RNA (ENSVVUG00000027255.1)". It matches the Rfam family "7SK RNA". Rfam says of the family: 7SK was discovered as an abundant small nuclear RNA in the mid-70s but a possible function has only recently been suggested. Two independent studies have found that 7SK RNA binds the CDK9/cyclin T complex (known as elongation factor P-TEFb). Lineage: Eukaryota; Metazoa; Chordata; Mammalia; Carnivora; Canidae. The record is from Rfam by way of RNAcentral.
GUUGGUGAGCGUGGUCUGGCCAGGACGUCCGCCGCCUCCCUGAUCCGCAGGGUUGACUGGCCGGUGAGGGGUGUCCCCUUCCCCCUCGCCGCUCCCCGUGUGUCCCUCCCCCGGAAGCUGCGCUCGGUCGAAAAGGGGGACCAUACCUGAAAAGUGGAGGACCCUUCCGUCAAGGGUGUACAAGUAGCUGGGCUCCCCUGCUGGAACCUCCCAGGAAGCUCUCGGGGCCCAUUUGUAGGGGGACGUAGGGUGGUCACACUGCCAAGACUCCAGACACGGCCAGAUGAGGCCCCAGAUGAGGCCCCACGUAGCAGUCUGCCUUCU